ACAGACUUUCUCAUGGAACGAGACGGAUUCGUUCUCGCGGAAGAUGACGAUGUGGAUCCCGCCAAAGCCGGAGGGGGGCAACAGACUGCAGAGUCUGUCAAUGCAGCGGUGGCUGAGCUUCUCGGCGAGCA
RNAcentral lists this non-coding RNA (131 nucleotides) under Rhizochromulina marina. The record is from RNAcentral. Lineage: Eukaryota; Dictyochophyceae; Rhizochromulinales.